GAGGGUAUAGCUCACGGGUAGAGUGUGUGCUUUCAGCACACAUGAUGAGGUCCUGGGUUCAAUCCCCAGUACCUCCU
This 77-nucleotide transfer RNA is filed under the name Camelus bactrianus (Bactrian camel). It matches the Rfam family "tRNA". From Rfam's summary of the family: Transfer RNA (tRNA) molecules are approximately 80 nucleotides in length. Their secondary structure includes four short double-helical elements and three loops (D, anti-codon, and T loops). Lineage: Eukaryota; Metazoa; Chordata; Mammalia; Artiodactyla; Camelidae. The record is from Rfam by way of RNAcentral. RNAcentral also lists the same sequence under 1 other name.